CAACUCCAUCCUCUACUA
RNAcentral lists this transfer RNA (18 nucleotides) under Phaps histrionica. RNAcentral describes it as "partial tRNA-Met". Lineage: Eukaryota; Metazoa; Chordata; Aves; Columbiformes; Columbidae. The record is from RNAcentral.